RNAcentral lists this long non-coding RNA (22344 nucleotides) under Vitis vinifera (wine grape). Its description in RNAcentral is "long non-coding RNA (VVIN_LNC003612)". The record is from RNAcentral. Lineage: Eukaryota; Viridiplantae; Streptophyta; Magnoliopsida; Vitales; Vitaceae.
UAGGUGUUCCAUACCCCAAGAACCAGCCCAUGAGGAUAUACUCCAGUCUCUGGAAUGCUGAUGACUGGGCAACAAGAGGUGGGCUGGUGAAGACAGACUGGAGCCUAGCCCCCUUCACAGCCUCCUACAGGAACUUCAAUGCCAAUGCAUGUGUUUGGUCCUCUGGAUCAUCUUCUUGCAGUUCAAACUCUCCAUCUUCUACCUCCACCAAUGGUGGAUGGUACUCACAGGAGCUUGAUUCCACAAGCCAAGAGAGAAUGAAAUGGGUGCAGAAGAACUACAUGAUCUACAAUUACUGCACAGACACAAAGCGAUUCCCACAAGGCCUUCCUCUUGAAUGCACUGCCACUACCACGUCCUAGAAAGAACCGAAUCUAAGUCCAUUCAAUCAAUUCUAUUCUUUCAUUCUUUAUCAUUAUAGUUGCUGUUACAGCAGCAGAAACAUCAUACUGUUUACAUUGUAAUAUAUGAGCCAAUUCGGAUAAUAAAAGAUUCUUUAUGAAUGACAUGCACUGUUCUUCGAGCCUCAAUUUGGAUGUCAGAAACCACUAGAGAAAGAAAAGGGCAUUGUCGAAAAUAACUGAAGAGAUUAACCAUUGUCAAUAUAAUUUUUAGCUUUUUUUCAAUUUGUUUUCCCUGUUCUUUAACUUAUGAGACACAGAUGGGGCCUCGAACCAAAUUUAAGGAGUAAAUAAUUUUGAUUUCCUUCCUUUAAAUUGCAAACAGCAAGAAAGUACAGUUAAAACCACAAACCAAGCACUGAGUCACAUAAAAGCUCCAAGCAUGAUGAAGGGGGCAAACAGACACGUGAAAAAUCACCAAUCCAUGAACCCAAAAACAGUCCCAUGCCCUAUGAGUUAUCUAUUGUUAUUUUCUGUCCUGCCUCCUUUGCUUGUGGAAGUCAGCAAGCCUCUUUAUGGUGCUGGUGAUAUGUAGAUUGGGUGUGGACUCAUCUUAACAUUGUAAAUGUGUUUUAAAGUUGGGAAUGAUCUUUAGCCUCAGAAAGAACAAAUAUCUAUUCAUUGGGAUUGGAUUGUUAUAAAUGAUAUUAAAAUCGAUCUCUAACCCCUCACGUGAGAAUUUGUAUAGUCCCGCAAAAGAUGUACGUCUAUUUUGCCCCACAAUUCUAUGAAACACAACAACGACGUUAUGUCUAUAUGAGGGGUGGAUAAUUGUGAUAUCUUAUAUCGGAUGAGGAGGAAAUUUUUCUGGAGCUAUAUAAAUGUAUUAACUCCUCUUAAUCUUAUAAAAACAUUUUAAAGCUGUCAGGAUCUUUUGAGUCUAGAGCGGACAAUAUCGUUUAACAUACGAGUCUGAUCCUCUUCUUAUGACAGAUAAAUUGAUUAUUAGUUACUUCUAUUACAAUAGAUAAUACAUGAAUACUAAGCCACCUCUGAUUUUUGUUUUAUGUUUUUGUUUAAAGUUUCUCCCCUGUUCACAUUAGGUAAGCUCUACUGUAUGUGAGUAGGUAACUGGAUCUUACUAUGGGUGUUGAACAGGCAGUGAUGGAGUCUUGGGCAGGUGCUGCUUGUCUUUCUCUUGUUGUUUUGACAUUUAGGAUCUUUAUACUUGGAAAAAGUGGAUGACAGUGGGUGGAGUUAUCUAUAUAGGAAGCUCUUGUCUAGCACAUUUUUACACUAACACGCUCUUUUAAAGUUUGGUUCUGGUAAAAAGAAAUGACUUCAAUCAAUUAAUCAGCAUCCACCAAUCAUGACAUAUUCUUAUUGAGAUGAUAUUACAGAGAAGUGAAUACAUUGUAAUGUGGUGUCUGGUGAAGAUGCUCUAAUUUUUCAAAUAAUUCAGUGAGUAGGAAGAGAAUGAUCAUUCUUUGAAUAUAACACUUUAUUAAACAUAUGCAGCAAAAGAUGCAAGAGAGAGGACUUAGAUUUUGUUAGCACAAGGGACUUCAAAGGAGGAGAACUUGCGUUCUCUUUGGUCGGAAGAAGCUAUUUAUAGAGUUUUUCCUUGGGUUUCUAAUGAAAUUUCUUACUUAUUCAGAUCUCUUUCAUUUUAGUAGGAUUGGCAACUUUAUAAACCUUGGAACUAUGAUCUUUGACUAUUCUUGUUCUUGCAGUAGUUUUUUUUCUCUGAUAUAUGUUUUUGUAGUCAAGCCAUCAUGUUGGUGAUUUUACUGGCCUCCAGAAAAAAUGAAUACUUUGAGAUGCCCAAAGUGGGGAUUGUUAAAUCUUCUGCACCUCCAUCUGGCAUUUUUGUUUUUUUUUCUGUACUCUUAAUUCAGUGCAAAUAAUAAGAAAUAAACUGCAUAUGAGAAUCACCUGCCUUUUUCGGGCUGUAACUCGGCUUGUGCUAUCAGUGUUUAUUUGUUGUCUGAUUGAUGCACUUGCAGCUACCAACUGGCAGUGAUGAUGGCUUGGGCAGGUGCUAUUUGUCUUUCUCUCCCCUGUUUUUUGGCAUUUAGGAUCCUUCACACUAGGAAAAAUGUCUAGGGAAGCUGUAGUCCAGCACAUUUUUACACUGAAAUGCCCUUUUGUGGUCUGGAACUUAAGCCACAAGCUUUACUACAGUAAAAAGAAAAUGAUUGGAAUCAAGUAAUGAUCAAACCAAUUGAUCAGGACAACUUUUUGUUAAGCUGUUAACAACUUUGAUAUGCUGAAAAGGAUUCCAAACCUGGUUGGGGGACGCGGCAGAAGUUAAAAGCAAUGAUAUUUGCUCAGUACUUUUCCAUUGGAAUACCGUGUGAUUGUGAUGAUUUUAAAAAUAUCAGGAGGAAGUCGGUUGUGGUUGUAUUGUGAGUACUGAUGAAGGAGGCCCGUUUGCAAAUGGGUUACCACUGCCACCUGUAUACAACUCAUUUUUUGGCUCUCCAACUUUGAACCUUCCCAGAAUUAACACACCCCUCUCUCUCCUCCCUUAGUAUAAAUGUCGGCUGAGAAAUCAAUUUCAAUUCACUGAAAUCAAACAUCUUCUCUUCAAACACCUCUUACCAACCAUACAGCACAUCCCUCAAUGGCACCCAUCUAUUCUUCUUCUUCAGCUGUUUCUACGGCCCUGCUAAUCUCUGUAGUGGUAAGCUUCUUAAUGGCUGCCUCAGCAGGUAACUUCUACCAAGACUUUGGCAUCACUUGGGGGGAUGGGCGUGCUAAGAUACUCGACAAUGGAGAGUUUCUCACUCUUUCCCUUGACAAGACCUCUGGAUCUGGUUUCCAGUCCAAGAAUGAGUAUUUGUUUGGGAAGAUUGACAUGCAGCUCAAACUUGUUCCUGGAAACUCUGCUGGCACCGUCACUGCCUACUAUGUAAGCCCGCCUUUCAUAUUACUUGUUGCACAUCAUCCUCCAUUUGAUGAUCAUUUGUUCUCCAGAUUAAUAUGUAGUUCUCAUUCAUGUAUGUGUGGAUUUGCAGUUAUCUUCACAAGGGCCAACCCAUGAUGAAAUCGACUUUGAAUUCCUGGGGAACCUCAGUGGGGAUCCAUAUAUCCUUCACACUAAUGUGUUCAGCCAAGGCAAGGGAAAUAGAGAGCAGCAGUUCUACCUGUGGUUUGACCCAACUGCCGAUUUUCACACCUAUUCCAUUCUCUGGAAUCCCCAGCGCAUUAUGUAAGUACUAUUAUCCAAAUCUUCAAAACUGCAAUCUGGUUUAUGUUUUUUGCGUUUUCAUAUUGAUUUACUCGUCUGGGGUAUCUCUGUUUCAGCUUCUCUGUGGAUGGCACCCCCAUCAGAGAGUUCAAGAACUCUGAGUCAAUUGGUGUUCCAUACCUAAAGAAUCAGCCCAUGAGAAUAUACUCCAGUCUAUGGAAUGCUGAUGACUGGGCAACAAGAGGUGGGCUCAUCAAGACAGACUGGACCCAAGCCCCCUUCACUGCUUCCUAUAGGAACUUCAAUGCAGAUGCCUGCAUUUGGUCUUCUGGAGCAUCUUCUUGCAGUUCAAAUACCCCCACUUCUAUCUCCCCCAGUACUGACUGGUACUCACAAGAGCUAGAUUCCACAAGCCAAGAGAGAAUGAAAUGGGUGCAGAAGAAUUACAUGAUCUACAAUUACUGCACUGACACAAAGCGAUUCCCACAAGGCCUUCCUCCUGAAUGCACUGCAACCACCACAUCCUAGAAGGAAACUCAACAUUAAGGCCAUUCAGUUGAUGCUUUCUUUGUUGGCUUGUAUCAUUUUUGUAACUCUAUUCUUUCAUUUUUUUUUUUUAUCAUUUAAUUGUCAUCAAAACAACAGAAGCCUCACAUUGUUUACAGUAUAAUAUAUGAGGAUUUCUGAGUAACUUUUAUCAUCACUUAUUGCUUCAAAGUUCAAAUGAAAUAGGGUGGGAGAUUUGAAACUCAAUCUAAUGAUCAUCAGUGCGGUAGAAAAGUGUUCUCGUCCGUGCCAAUCUCUGUAAUGGUUAGCUUCAUAAUGGCUGCCUCUGCAGGUAACUUCUACCAAGCUUUGACAUCACUUGGGGAGAUAGGCUUGCCAAUAUACUCAUCAAUGGGGAGCUUCUUACUCUUCCCUAGACUUCAUGAAAAUUUCAGCAUUCUUUAACAAAGAAGUCUUGUAAUCUAAUCAUAUUGAGAAGUGACAGUGACACGAUUCAAUUCGCAGUGGCGUUUGUUAUUUUAACUUAGGUAAGCAAGUCGUUUUAAAAUUUAAGAUAAAAGUUAAAAAAAAUAAAAUACUUUUUUCUUUCAAAUAAAGUUGUUUUAAAAAAUAAUAAUAAUUCAAAAAAACCAAACCGUUUUAAAAAUACUAAACCCUCUAAACAUUUUUUUUAAGACUUAAUUUUUAGUAUCCUAAUUUUAAAAAAAAAAAAAAUUGGUUUUAAAUAUAUAAGGUAAAUUUAUUCUUUUAUACAAAAUGUUCUUUUUAUAUAGAAUUUAUUUUUAUUUUUUUUAAAAAAAAAAGGUGUAUCCAAACAAAUAUUAAAAGUAUAAUAAUUUUAAAAACUAUUUAAAAUUUUGAGUUACUACCUCAAAUUUAAAACAAAAAAAUUAAAGUGAUUCUUAGUAUAUUGUAAUCAAUACUUUUUAUAUAAGAUGUUUUACUUCUAUAUAGAAAUCAAAAAGUGAAAUCCAAAUGAUGAUUGGUAUAUGUUUAGAUAGUUUUUUUUUAUAAGAUAAAAAUAAUUAUUAUUAUUUUGUACAAAAAAAAAAAAAAAGAUUUAUAUUGUAUCUUUAAAGUCACUUCAAAAGUUUUAAAAUUUGAGAUGGUAAAAAAAAAAUUAUAACUCAAUUUUUUUUAAAUAUUUUUAAAAUCAUUAUAUUUUCAAUAAAAAUAUCUAAAAAUUAUGGCAUUUUAUAUAAAUAUUACUAUUAUUUUUUAUUCAAAAAUAUAAAAUAAGAAAUGUAUUAGAUAGACACUAGUAUUAAAUAUUAUUUAGACUUAAAUUAAACUACAAUCUAUUAAAUCCACUGUAAUCAUUAUUGAAAAGUAACUUAAUUACAUUUGGAAUUAACUUCAUCGUAUCCGUAGGUCCAUCGUAUAAUUUGGUCAUUAUUGGAAAGUAAUAUACUCAUGUAUGAAAGUAAGUUGAUCAUAUUUAGGAGAUGAAUUGGUUAUCCAUAUGAAUUUAAUUAUUAAAACUGAAGAUAUCAUACCUCUACCACCCUACAAUGCACAAUGUAGACAAAGGUCCAUCAAUAUUACACAUUAAGCCCCAAAGCCCAAUAUAGAAAUGAGUCAAAUGACAGAUAGAUACUUCAAAACUUGAACCAAAAAGUGUGAAGUAGUUAUUUUCAACACUAGAGAUACAUUUCCAAAAAUCAUAAGUUUAUCUCAAUGACAAACAUAGUUUUCAAGUAAAUUAAAGAAAUUAACUUUCACAAGCUUAAGAAUACAAUUAAAUCAACUAGGUGGGGGUGGUUGGUUCAAACUUCAGGGACGGUGGUGGCUCUAGGUAUGGAUAAUAAUUGGUGUUUUGGUAGAAGGGAAAGUGGUUUGGCCCUUCUGUUUCUUUUUUCAAGUGCAUGCAUAGACCGUGUCAAAAUGAAAGUGGGUUGCGCUUGUGCCAUCAGAUGACAGCUAUUGCCUUCACAUAUUGAGCUCAACUGUGAACAGCUGCUGACUCAUCCUUCCUUCUCUCCUUCCAGGCUUCCGCUUUUCCCCCUCACCAUCUAUACUAUAAAACCCCACGUACCCACACCGUUCUCCUCACUUCCACACUCCAAACUUCUCCCCAUUUCCCAUCCCUAUAUUCACAUUCAAUGGCUUCUCCCUCUACUUCGAAUCUGUCACCAAAGUUGCUCUUGAUGUCUCUUCUGCUUGGUUCCUUUGUGGUUGCUUCUGUUGGUAACUUGUACCAAGAUUUUGAUCUCACUUGGGGUGAUGGCAGAGCCAAGAUCCUCAACAAUGGACAGCUUCUUACUCUCUCCCUUGACAAAGCCUCUGGCUCUGGCUUCCAGUCCAAGAAUGAGUAUCUGUUUGGGAAGAUUGAUAUGCAGCUGAAGCUUGUGCCUGGAAACUCUGCUGGCACUGUCACUGCCUACUAUGUAAGCCUCCUCUUUACCAAGUGUUUUUGCAUCAAAUGCUUUCUUGGUUUUAUCUUCUUCUGACUCACAAACCAAUACCUGCUUUGUGUAAUUGCAGCUAUCUUCACAAGGGCCUACCCAUGAUGAGAUAGAUUUUGAAUUCUUGGGGAAUCUCAGUGGUGAUCCAUACAUUCUUCACACUAAUGUGUUCAGCCAAGGAAAGGGAAACAGAGAACAGCAGUUCUACCUCUGGUUUGACCCCACUGCUGAUUUCCACACCUAUUCCAUCCUCUGGAAUCCCCAGCGGAUUAUGUAAGCACUAUAGUAAUUAAUCUUCAAAAUUGCAAUCUGGUUUACGUUUUUCGGGUUUUUGUAUUGAUUUACUCAUCUGGGGUAUCUCUGUUUCAGCUUCUCUGUGGAUGGCACCCCCAUUAGAGAGUUCAAGAACUCUGAGUCCAUUGGUGUUCCAUUCCCAAAGAACCAGCCCAUGAGGAUAUACUCCAGUCUCUGGAAUGCAGAUGACUGGGCAACAAGAGGUGGUCUUGUGAAGACAGACUGGAGCCAAGCACCUUUCACAGCCUCCUACAGGAACUUCAAUGCCAAUGCUUGUGUUUGGUCCUCUGGAUCAUCUUCUUGCAGUUCAACCUCUCCAUCUUCUACAUCCACCAAUAGUGGAUGGUACUCACAAGAACUAGAUUCCACAAGCCAAGAGAGAAUGAAAUGGGUGCAGAAGAACUACAUGAUCUACAAUUACUGCACAGACACAAAGAGAUUCCCACAGGGCCUUUCCCCUGAAUGCACUGCCACCACCACAUCCUAGAGGAAACUCAACCUUAAAGGCCAUUCAGUUAGAUAGUUUGCCUCUGUAGGUUUCCUCAGUUCUGUUCUUUCAUUCUUUAUCAUUUUAGUCGGUAUCACCACAGCUCAUUGUUUACAUUGAAAUAUAUGAGAUGAAUAAAAAAUCCUUUUAGCCCUUUUUCUGUUUCUUCUCCUUGUUCUUUAACUUCUGACAGAUACAGAUUGGGCCUUAUACCAAAUUUAAAGAGUAAAUAAUCUUAAUUUCUUUCCACUUUAAUCACAAACAGCAAGAAACUUCAGUUAAGAGUCACCAAAACUAUGUACUGAGUCACACAAGAAGCUCCAUGCAUGAUGAAGGCGGCACACAGACAAAUGUAAAAUCGCCCCCAAAUCCAUGAACCCUAUAAAAUAAUAUUUUUCAAACUAAGAGAAAUUAUUACCUUAAUGGCAUGGUUGAUUUAUUCAUAAAUGAAUAAUUUAUUAAUUUAUUGAUAAAUAAAUAAUUAUCAAUUAAUAAAGAAUAUUAUAUUCGUAUUAUAUAGUUCUUGUACAUAUGACUUAUUAAUCUAAAAAUAAUAGAUAUAAUAAAAAGUUAAUAUAUAGAAACUUAAGAAACCUGAAAAAAUAAAAAAUGGUUAUUAAUUAUAAAAGAUAGCGGGACUCUGAAAAGAAAAAAAUGUAGUAUCAAAACUUAAAAAUUUAUUUGAUAAUAAUUUUAAGUAACACAUUUAAUUUUAAAAGCAUUUUUUUUAAAAAAAGAAAUAAAAAAGACAUUUCACAAGAUUUGGAAAACACUUUUAAAAAUUAAUAAAAAAAGGUUUUCAACAAAAACACUUUUGAAGAGAAACAAUGUCAAAUUCACUUUUAAUUGCUAAAACAUAAAUAUUAUUCAUAAAUUUUUUUAAACUCUUAUAUAUUUCUAAAAUAAUAUUAUUAUCUUUUAUAUUUAAUAAAGUUAUUAAUUUAGUACACAGCUCGAGGCGUUAUCGAGCCUUUACCGUGUCUCCGAUGUUCACAUUGGGUAAGCUCUUCGAUAUGUUGUUGGCUGGCAAGGAGAUGAGCAGGUGACUGGAUCUUGCCAGUGGUGUUCAACUUGCAAUUACAAAUUUACAACUGGCCAUGAUGAUGGCUUGGGCAGGUGCUACUUAUCUUUCUCACCCUGUUUUGGCAUUUAGGAUCUUUAGACUUGGAAAAAAGUGGAUGACAGUGGGUGGUGGAGUGAUGUAUGUAGGAAGCUCUGGUCCAGCACAUUUUUACACUAGAGCCCUCUUUUGAGGUUUGGUUCUGGUAAAAGGAAAAUGAUUUGAAUCAAGUAACCAUCAUCAUCAACUAAUCAUGACAAGUUUUUUUUUUUGAACUGUUUGAUAUAUUGGAAAGGGACAAAACCAGGUUGGGGAAGCAGGUAGACGAGGCAGAAGUAAGAUCUAUGAUACUUCCUGAGUAGUUUUAUAUUGCAAAACCGUGUGGUUCUGAUGAUUUAAAAAGUAUUAGUUGGGAGGAGGAAGCCCAUUUGUAGAUAUGGUUGCCACUGCCAUCUGUAUACAACUUAUUCUUUGGUCUCCCACUUUGAACCUUCCUGCAGCACCCUCUCAAGCUCACUAGAUCUCUCCCACCAAGUAUAAAUUGGAGUUGGAAGAGAUCAAUUUCAAGUCACUAACAUCAAACUUCUUCUCUUCAAACACCUCUUAGCAACUAUAUAGCAUAUCCCUCAAUGGCACCCAUCUAUUCCUCUUGUUCAACUGUGACAACAACCCUGCUCAUCUCUGUAUCUCUACAUUGAUCAUAGGAUAUAUGUAUGAAUUCUGCAUGUUUUAUUGCAGAUAAAUGAGUGGUUAUUCAGAGGGCAGUGCAUUGUAAUGGCAGCCUCCAAAUCAUCUUAGUUCAUUCAAAACAUUGAGCAGUUUAUUAUAACAUCCUUUCUAGUGCAGGAUUACCAGCUAGAGAGAAGAGUUCUUGAUACUGAUAUAUGUAGUACAGCUCUAAUAGAAGUUGUUCUAAACCUUCAAGGUUUAAAUGAAGGUGGCUUCCUAAUCUUAGUUGCUUGCUCGAAGCUAUAUGCAAUCUCGAUCAUAUUGUCACUAGUUUUAUGGGGCAUCCCAGGUUGGUGUAAAAAGUUGACAAAAGCUACCAUGAAAAAAGAUAUUAUUUAUUGUAAUUUUUCUCUUCAUUUUUUAAGUGAUACACCGGGUGAUAGUAUGACAAUUGAAAUGAAUCACAAUAAAUUAUUCAAAUAACAAAAAUUAUUACAUUGUUUGAAUUAAUUUUUAUUUUUAUUAAUAAAAUAAUUAAAUAUUUUAUAUCGAAGUUAUAAAUAUUUUUUAUUUUUAAAAAUAAAAAAAUUAUCUACAUACCAAUAUACAAUUUGUAUGUAUACACAGAAAAAUCAUUAAAACAUUCAUAGAUAAGGAUGAAAAUAUUGGUUUUUACAAAUAUAUUAGUAAUUGGAUUUUAUGAAUAUAUUAAAAAAUAUUGAUGAAAAUUUUAAUAAAAGAUAUCAAUAGGACGAAAUUAAUAAAACCUCAUACAAAAUGUUGAAAAAAAAUUCUAAAAGAUAAUAGAAGAAACAACAGUAAAGUUAUAUAUAUAUAUAUAAUUUUUAUGAUAUCAAGUAAUAUUAUAUAGAACUCGGAAAUAUAUUUAUAGAUGAAUGUAUUCAAAAUAAAAGAGAAUUAUUAUAUAUUAUUUUCAAAUUUAUGUUUCUGUUACUUUCUUAAAGAAAUGUUUUGUUGAUUUUGAGAAUCUCCUUUGAUUUUUAUAGCCGUUUGUGGUUGAUGGCAUAGAGAUCAUAGUAAAUAAUUACAAUUUUCUGACCAUUUUUCUGGCCUAUUGUUUUGUUUCGUGAAAUUGAAAAUUUGGUAAUAAAAACCUUUUUCCAAUUUGUAACACUGAAAACUUGAAGUUGCAAAAAAGGUAAAUUCAUGGAAGUUUGUGAUUGACAUGUGAUGGUUUAAAUUUUAGCCUGUGUGGGCUACAAUGGAAAUUUCAGUGGCUAAAUGUAACUAGUUUCUGCAACAUGUUUUUAACACGCUAGGCAAGAAAAUUUGUUAAUAUUUUUUUUCUCAAUUUUAUUAAUCCAAAUAGUCUAACCAUAGAUGGAGAAUGAACAAUACAAAUAGUGGUGUGUAUCACUGAAUAUAGUUAGAGGGAGGGUUGAAUGAGACUGAUAUCUUUUUUACCAAUCUACUCUAAGAGUUUAAUUUUUGUUUUCCUGAAAUUUUUUUAUUAUUUAACAAAUUGAUAAUCAUCUAAAAUAAAUUGUUAAUUUUAUUUUUCUUCCAUUUUUCCUUUAUUUUAUUUCGUGGUUAACCAAACAAAAGAAAAUGAAUUCCUUUUUUUUUUUCCUUUAAUUUUUCAUGGAUAACCAAAUAAGUGAAAAAAUUUAUAUUUAUUUCCUUAACUUUUUCUUUUUUUCCAUUUUUUCUCCCAUUUUUCUUUCUCUUGCAUUUUCCCGAACCAAACAUAGCCUAAAAAAACAGGUUUUCUCAUAUUUAGUUUUAUCAUAGAAAAAAUAUAUAUAUAUAUAUAAGUUAAAACCUCUUUAGGAACUUCUAUCUUGACCUUACGCUAAACCAGCCCACCAACCUAUCACAGUUGACAAUUGGUUGAGCUCUGGCGGUGAGUGGCUUUUGUCAGAAGCCGAGUAGAUUUCAAUGAAGCUAGCUAGCACCGAUCUUUUGGGCUGUUACUGGGUCCAGCAUGAGCGUAUUUGCUGGGUUGGUGAUGCUUUUUCAGGUACAAGUGGAGAUGGUGGUAGCUGGGCCAGGUGUGUAAUUUGUCCUUGUCUCCCUGUUUGGCCAUUUAGGAUCCUUUUGACUGAGAAAAAGUAGCUGAUACCGACAGGAGUGAUCUCUCCAGGAGCUUCUCUUCUAGGAGAAGGCGGACGCGGCAGACAGAAAGAGUCUUGCAAUCAAUUUCCAGAUUUUUCUAUUCCAAAACCGCGUGAGUAUUGUUGAUGCCUUGCGUUCUAGGAUACACAUAGCUGCCAAGUGGACACGCGCCUUCAAUCAAGAUUGAGUCCUGACUCAGUCGGCCCUGUAAAAGGUAUCCGGAUAGGGUGUCCGGACACACCAUCCGAUGAUUUUGUUAGCCAUGACAUAAGAUGAAGAUACUAAAAGGAAAGCAGCUUUAAAUGUAUCAAGAAUACUGAUGAUGGAGGCCCACUUGUAGACGGCGCUACUGUAUACAGCUCAGUUUCUGCUCUCCAAAUAUGAACUUUCCCAGUAGUAUCAGCAUCAUUAUAACUAAGAGAUUAGAGAGAUUGAUUUCAUUGAUUCAGCAUAACCAAAUUUCUUCACUUUGAACAUUUCUUACCAACCAUACAACAUAGUUUUCAAUGGUAUCUCCAUAUUCUUCUUUAGCUUCAGGCCUGCUGAUCUCUCUACUGGUCAGCUUCUUAAUAGUUGCUUCAACAGGUAACUUGGCAUUACUUAGGGGGAUGGGCGUGCUCAGAUACUCAACAAUCAUCCCUAUUUGAUGUGAGAUAUCAGAUGGCAUUACUUAAAAUGUGUUUACAUGAUUAAGAGGAACUCACACUUUUACAGUAUUAGAAACUUUCUCCCUAUCUGAUGUGGGAUAUCACAAUCAUCCCCAUAAAAACACAACGUCCUUGUUGCAUCACAAGGGAUUACAAGGUCAAACAAACCCUUACAUUGAGGUUAAAGAUCAACUUGAUACCAUUUGUAAGACUCGUUCUUAACUAUGUAGAUUUUAUCCUCUCUAAACCCAAAAUAACCCUCAAUACUUCAAAACGCAUCUACAUAAUUAAGAGAAGUACACAUUUACAUAGCGUCAAGAGUUUAUCUCGUCUACGAUGUAGGAUAUCACAAAGCACCAUUCACUGCCUCCUACAAGAACUACAAUGUCAAUGUUUGUGUUUGGUUCUCUAGAUCAUCUUCUCACAAUUCAACCCCUCCCUUUUCUACUUCCACCAAUGGUGCAUGGUACUCAAGAGCUAAAUUCCACAAGCCAAAAAAGAAUGAAAUGAAGGCAGAAGAAUUACAUGAUCUACAAUUACUGCACGGGCAUAAAGCAAUUCCCACAAGACCAUGCUCCUAAAUGCAUUGCUGCCACCACAUCCUAAAGGAAACUCAACCCUAAUAACAUUCAGUUGACUCUUUCUUUGCUUGUAUCAUCUUGAUAAUUCUAUUCUUUCAUUCUUUAUUGAUAAUAACAACAAUUGAAUCAAGAAAAAAAGUGUGAUAUCUCAUUAAUUGUUUAAGUUAUGAACAGAGGAAUUAUUUAUACAAGGGCAAGCACUAAUUCCAUAGCAAGAUGACAUGUUGGUUGAGUGGUUACAACUGAGUAGUAGCUUGUAUAACAGUUUGGUAAUUAAUCAGUUGUUAGUUUAGUCACUGUUAACUAUCUAGCAUUUAUAAUCACGAUUUUUAUAAUGUAAUUAUGAAUUAUGAAAUUUACUUAUUCUGAAAUAUUACCUUUUUUAAUAAAUGACCAACAUAAAUAGAAAAGCUUUAGGUUAUGUUUGGUUUCCGGAAAAUACAAAGUAAAGAAAAAAAAUACAAAGGAAAGAAAAAAAAUACAAAGGAAAAUGAUCUUUUCAUGUUUGAUUGUUCUAUGAAAAAUAUAAAAAAAAUCAAAUAUAAUUAAAAUUAAUUAAAAACUUAUGUAUUUUUAAAUUAUUUAAUCUUUAUAUUGAUGAGUUAAAAUAAAUAAAAUGAGUUUGAAGUAACAAAAAAAAAUAAUUUAUCAACUUUUAAUUAAUUUUUUUAUUUUCCUUCACUUUUUCUCUCCUUCUACUUUUCUUUUGUAUUUUCUUUCCCUUACAUUUUUCUUCAAAUUUUCUAGGAACCAAACAUAGCUUUAGUCUAGGCAAAAACCUUGGAUUUGCAAUGGCAAAACUUGUGUAUUUUAUUAUUGUUCUAUAUAUACACAAAAGGACGUUACUUUACAAAAAAGAAGAAAUACAAGAAGUAUAAAUUAGGAAAAAGAAGGAAUUAUGCUCAGAGAAGAUUCAAUCACAAAUAAAGUACACCAAAAUCAAAGAUGUACAAAAACAAAAUAUUCGAUAAUACUCUCCCUCAAGUUGAAGUAUGGAGGUACGAACACCCACUUAUGAAUGAGGGAAGGAAAAACGUUAACUCUUAAAGUCUUGAUAAAGACAUCGAUUAAUUGGUCUUUGAUUUGAAUAUAUGCAAUAUGAACUAAAUCAACUUUAAUUCUUUCGCGUAUCACAUGACAAUCAAUUUCGAUGUAUUUAGUGUGUUCACAAAAUGCUAGAUUUACAACCAUAUUGAGCUUAGGUUGUUAUUGCAAAACAUGAUAGUAGGUUGCAUAUGGGUAAUGUGUAGAUCAUGGAACAAUAAAAGAAGUCAUUGAAUUUCACAAGUUGUAACCAUGACACGAUAUUUCGGCUUUAUUAGAGGUGAUUCUUUAAAAAAUCACUUGUUUAUAUAUCAAAAAUCAAAAUGGGUGUUAUUUGUAAACACUUCUUGCUUUAUUCCUAGAUUAAAUGUAAAAAAUACACUUACCUUUAAAAAGUAAUGUAUUUUAAAAAGUAUUUAAAAAAAUUGAAAUAUUAAAAAAAAAUUACUACUUCAAAUUUUAAGAAUUUUAAAAAUACAUUUUAGAGAUAUAAAGUAAAUUGAUAGUUUUAUAUAAGAAUUAUUCUAUUUUAUAUAAAAGUUAAUAUUUAUUUCUAUUUUAAAAAAUAAAUAAUAAAAAAUAUAUCCAAACAGGCAUUAAACAAUUAUUUUUUUAAAGGUCCGGGAUGAACUGUUAAUAAAAGUAUACAAACAAUAACGUUUUAACUAAAAAUCACUCUACAACAAACUUUAAAUUAUGUAAAAUUCAGGGUUUGAUAAGUUUCCAACUCAGGGUUUAAUAAUGUGUUUGGUAAAAGGGAAAGUGGAUCUGCCCUUUUGUCCGCUUUAAGUGCAUUCAUAAACCGUGUCAAAAUGAAAGUGGGCUCUGCUUGUCCCAUUUGAUGACAACUAUUUUCUUUACAUUUUGGAGCCCAGCUGUGCCCAGCUGCUGACUGAACCUUCCUCAUCUCCUUCCAAUUCCCCCAGAACUUCUACUAUAAAACCCCACAUACCCACGCUAUUCUCUUCACUUCCAUACUCAAGCUUCUUUCCAUUUCUCGUCUCUGUAUUCGCAUUCAAUGACUUAUCCUACUACUUCAAAUCUUUCACCAAAGUUGCUCUUGCUCUCUCUUCUGCUUGGUUCCUUUGUGGUUGCUUCUGUUGGUAACUUGUACCAAGAUUUUGAUAUCACUUGGGGUGAUGGCAGAGCCAAGAUCCUCAACAAUGGACAGCUUCUUACUCUCUCUCUUGACAAAGCCUCUGGCUCUGGCUUCCGGUCCAAUAAUGAGUAUCUGUUUGGGAAGAUUGAUAUGCAGCUGAAGCUUGUGCCUGGAAACUCUGCUGGCACUGUCACUGCCUACUAUGUAAGCCUCCUCUUUACCAAGCGUUUUUCCAUCAAACGCUCUCUUGUUUUCAUCUUCUUCUGACUCACAAAUCAAUAUCCUGCUUUGUGUAAUUGCAGCUAUCGUCACAAGGGCCUACCCAUGAUGAGAUAGAUUUUGAAUUCUUGGGGAAUCUCAGUGGUGAUCCAUACAUUCUUCACACUAAUGUGUUCAGCCAAGGCAAGGGAAACAGAGAGCAGCAAUUCUACCUCUGGUUCGACCCAACUGCCGAUUUCCACACAUACUCCGUUCUCUGGAAUCCCCAGCGCAUUAUGUAAGUACUAUUAUCCUGAUCUCCAAACCUGAAAUCUGGUUUAUGUUUUUCGGGUUUCUGUAUUGAUUUACUCAUCAUGGGUAUCUCUGUUUCAGCUUCUCUGUGGAUGGCACCCCCAUCAGAGAGUUCAAAAAUUCAGAAUCCAUUGGUGUUCCAUACCCGAAAAACCAGCCCAUGAGGAUAUACUCCAGUCUAUGGAAUGCAGAUGACUGGGCAACAAGGGGUGGGCUUGUCAAGACAGACUGGAGCCAAGCACCCUUCACUGCCUCCUACAGGAACUUCAAUGCCAAUGCUUGUGUGUGGUCCUCUGGAUCAUCUUCUUGCAGUUCAACCUCUCCAUCUUCUACCUCCACCAAUGGUGGAUGGUAUUCACAGGAGCUAGAUUCCACAAGCCAAGAGAGAAUGACAUGGGUGCAGAAGAAUUACAUGAUCUACAAUUACUGCACUGACACAAAGCGAUUCCCACAGGGCCUUCCUCCUGAAUGCACAGCCACUACCAUGUCCUAGAAGGAACCGAACCUAAGCCCAUUCAAUCAAUUCUAUUCUUUAAUUCUUUAUCCUUUUAGUUGCUGUUACAACAGCAGAAACCUCAUAUUGUUUACAUUGUAAUAUACGAGUCAAUGCAGAUAAUAAAAGAUUAUUUAUGAAUGACAUGCACUGUUUUUGAACCUCAAUUUGGAUGUCAAAAACCACUAGAGAAAGAAAGGAAAUUGUUGAAAAUGACUGAAGAGAUGAACCAUUGUCAAUGCAAUUUUUAGCUUUUUUUUUCAAUUUGCUUUCCCUGUUCUUUAACUUAUGAGACACAGAUGGGGCCUUGAACCAAAUUUAAGGAGUAAAUAGUUUUUAUUUCCUUCCUUCUAAUUGUAAACAGCAAGAAAGUACAGUUAAAACCACAAAAACCAAGCACUGAGUCGCACAAGAAGCUCUAAGCAUGAUGAAGGUGGCAAACAGACCCAUGAAAAACCACCAAUUCAUGAACAAAACAGUCCCACGUCCCAUGAAUAAUCUAUUGUUAAUUUCUGUCCCACCUCCUUUGCUUGUGGAAGUCAGCAAACCUCUCUGUGGUUCUGGUGACAUGGACAUUGUUGUAUAGACUCCUCUCAAUAUCUACCCAAUUGGGAGGAGAUCGUUACAAUGAUAUCAAAGUCGAUCAUCGACCUCAAUAUGAGAGUUUGUUUGGCCUUACAAGAAGUGUCUGUCUAUUUAAUUAGAUAAUCUUAUGAAACACAAUGAGGAUGUUAUGUCUGCAUAAGGAGUAGGUGAUUGUAAUAUUCCCUAAAUACAUAUGAGUUUCUCUUUACCUUAUAGAAAUGUUUUAAAGUCGUGAGGAUUCUUUGAGUUUAAAGUUGACAAUAUCCCCUAUCAUAUGAGUUUGAUUCUCUUUGUGAUAAUAGGUAAAUUGAUUAUUAGUCACUUCUACUAUAAUAGAUAUGACACAUGAAUACUAAGUCACCUCUGAUUUUUGUAGUGUGCUUUUUUAUAAGUUUCUGCCCUGUUCACAUUAGGGAAGCUCUAGAAUAUGUGAGUAGGUAACUGGAUCUUACUAUGGGUGUUGAACUGGCAGUGACGGAUGCUUGGGCAGGUGCUGCUUGUCUUUCUCUCCUUGUUUUGGCACUUCGGAUGUUUAGAGUUGGAAAAAGUGGCUGACAGUGGGUGGAGUGAUCUAUGUAGGAAGCUCUCGUCCAGCACAUUUUUACACUACAACGUCCUUUCAAGGUUUGGUUUGGGUAAAAGGAAAUGAUUUGAAUUAAUCGAUCAGCAUCUACCAAUCAUUACAAGUUCUUAUUGAGAUGAUAUUACAGAGAAAUGAAGACAUUGUUCUCUGGUGUCUGGUGAAGAUGCUAUAAUUUUUCAAAUAAUUCAGUGAGUAGGAAGAGAAUGAUCAUUCUUUGAAAUAUGCAGCGAAAAAUACAAGAGAGGACUUAGAUUUUGUUAGCACAAGAGAUAUGGAGGAGAACUCGCCUUCUCUUUGGUCGGAAGAAGCUAUUCAUAGAGUUUUUCCAUGGGUUUCUAGUGAAAUUUCUUACUUAUUCUUAUCUCUUUCCCUUUAGUAGGAAUGACAACUUUAUAGGCUUUGUAACUAUGAUUUUUUACCAUUCUUGUUCUUGACAGAUAUGGUAUGGGGGGGCGGGGGCGGGGUGUGGUUUCUUGCUCUUAAUUCAGUUGAAAUAAUAAUAAAUAAACUGCACUUGAAGCCAUGAGAAUCACCUGCCUUUUCGGGCUGUAACUCGACUUGUACUAUCAGUGUUUGUUUAUUGUCUGAUUGAAGCACUUGCAGCUACCAACUGGCAGUGAUGAUGGCUUGGGCAGGUGCUAUUUGUCUUUCUCUCCCCUGUUUUUUGGCAUUUAGGAUCCUUCACCCUAGGAAAAAUGGCUGAUGGAAGAAGCUGUAGUCCAGCACAUUUUUACACUGAAUUGCCCCUUUGUAGUUUGUAUCUCGAGCCAAAAGCUUUACUACAGUCAAAAGGAAAUGACUGAAAUCAAGUAAUGAUCAACAUCAAUUGAUCAGGACAAGUUUUUGUUAAGCUGUUAACAACUUUGAUAUACUGGAAAGGAUUCCAAACCUGGUUGGGGGACGCGGCAGAAGUUAAAAGCAUUGAUAUUUGCUCAGUACUUUUCUAUCGGGAUACCGUGUGAUUGUGAUGAUUUUAAAAAUAUCAGUAGGAAGUCGGGUUUGGUUGUAUUGUGAGUACUGAUGAAGGAGGCCCGUUUGCAGAUGGGUUGCCACUGCCACCUGUAUACAACACAUUUUUUGGCUCUCCAACUUUGAACCUUCCCAGAAUUAACACACCCCUCUCUCUCCACCAUUAGUAUAAAUGUCGGCUGAGAGAUCAAUUUCAAUUCACUGAAAUCAAACAUCUUCUCUUCAAACACCUCUUACCAACCAUACAGCACAUCCCUCAAUGGCACCCAUCUAUUCUUCUUCUUCAGCUGUUUCUACGGCCCUGCUAAUCUCUGUAGUGGUAAGCUUCUUAAUGGCUGCCUCAGCAGGUAACUUCUACCAAGACUUUGACAUCACUUGGGGGGAUAGGCGUGCUAAGAUACUCGACAAUGGAGAGUUUCUCACUCUUUCCCUUGACACGACCUCUGGAUCUGGUUUCCAGUCCAAGAAUGAGUAUUUGUUUGGGAAGAUUGACAUGCAGCUCAAACUUGUUCCUGGAAACUCUGCUGGCACCGUCACUGCCUACUAUGUAAGCCCGCCUUUCAUAUUACUUGUUGCACAUCAUCCUCCAUUUGAUGACCAUUUGUUCUCCAGAUUAGUAUGCAGUUCUCAUUCAUGUAUGUGUGGAUUUGCAGUUAUCUUCACAAGGGCCAACCCAUGAUGAAAUCGACUUUGAAUUCCUGGGGAACCUCAGUGGGGAUCCAUAUAUCCUCCACACUAAUGUGUUCAGCCAAGGCAAGGGGAACAGAGAGCAGCAGUUCUACCUCUGGUUUGACCCCACUGCUGAUUUCCACACCUACUCCAUCCUUUGGAAUCCCCAGCGCAUAAUGUAAGUAGUAUCGUUAUCUUCAUAACUGCAACCUGGUUUAUGUUUUUGCGGUUCUUGUAUUGAUUUACUCAUCUGGGGUGUCUAUGUUUCAGCUUCUCUGUGGAUGGUACCCCCAUCAGAGAGUUCAAGAACUCUGAGUCCAUUGGUGUUCCAUUCCCAAAGAACCAGCCCAUGAGGAUAUACUCCAGCCUCUGGAACGCAGAUGACUGGGCAACAAGAGGUGGGCUGGUGAAGACAGACUGGACCCAAGCCCCCUUCACUGCUUCCUAUAGGAACUUCAAUGCAGAUGCCUGCAUUUGGUCUUCUGGAGCAUUUUCUUGCAGUUCAAAUACCCCACUUCUAUCUCCCCCAGUACUGACUGGUACUCACUUCAAAAAAUUGAAAUAAUAAAAAAAAUUAUAUAAAUCUUAACGGUUAUUUCUUUAUUCAAAUAUAUAAAAUAGGAAGCGGAUUAAAUAGACACUUAAUUUUUAAUAUUAUUAAAUAGUAUUUAGACUUAAAUUAAAUUAAAAUCUAUUUACAUUUAAGACAAAAAAAAAAUAACAAACAAACAUUACCUUGACGAAAAAACUUAGAGUCUAUUUGAUAGUAAUUUUAGGAAGCGUUUCUAAAAUUUUUAGUACUUAAAAAAUUUUAUUUUUUAAGUGUUAUAACCCAUUUGGCAAUAAUUUUAAUAAGUGUUUCGAAACUUUUUAACACUUUAAAAUUUGUAUUAUUCAAGUGUUAGAAAGGCUAAAAGCAUUUUCUUGAAUCACUACCAAUUAUGCUCUUAGAAAAGUUAAAAACGCUUAUUGGAAUCACUAUCAAACGCACUCUUAAAACAUGUUUAACAGUGUUUCUACUCAAAGUGUUUUUAGUAGAAAUGUUUUCUUUUAAAGUGUUUUAAAGAUAAUUACCAAUCAAGUGUUUUUCCAUAAAACACUACAAGUGAUUUUCCACACCAAAGUGAUUUUUUAUAUUUUUUUAAAGUGUUUCCUCAAAUUUGUCAAACACUUAGACCCCAUUUGGUAGUGAUUCUAGGAAGUGUUUUUAAUAUCUCUAAUACUUGAAAAAAUUUAUCAUUCAAAUGUUAAAAAUUCUAUAAACGCUUUCUAGAAUCACUCUUAAAGUGCAUUUGACAAUUAUUAUAGGAAGUGUUUUUGGACUUUAUAAUACUUAAAUGAUGAAAAUUUCAAAGUGUUAUAAAAGCUUAGAAACAUUUCCUAGAAUCACUACCAAACGCACUCUUAAUUGUUUUCAAAAACACUUUUUAGAUUAAAAAUGCUUCCUAAAAUCAUUGUCAAAUACAAACUCUUAAUUAUAUUUAGAGUUAACUUGAUGAUAUUUGCAAGUCCAUCAUAUAAUUUGGUCAUUAUUGGAAAGUAAAAUACUCAUAUAUGAAGAGUAACUUGAUUAUAGUUAGGAAAUGAAUUGGUUUACUUAGUUCCAAAUAUAUCCAUAUGAAUUUAAUUAUUAAAACUGAAGAUAUCAUACCUCUACAACAUGACCACAUGACCUAAAAGGUACAACUAAAACACUCCAAAGGAGGUUGGCAUGGAUGGAAGAAUUUUUAAAAUUUGGCUAGGUCAAGUUUGGUAUUGAACACUUUUAAUCUAUAAAUUAUUUCCAUAUUGUGUAGAUAUUAUCCAUUGUUUUCCACGAAAUUCCUUAUGUUAGAUCUUUGAAACCUCUCAUACAAGUUAUUCUCAUUAUUUUCCACAAGGAAUCAACUCUGGAAUUAUUUAGCAUACUUCAUGCAAAAGCUAAAAUUCUUCAUGAAAAACUGAAAUUUUAUUCCAUCAUUUGUUGGAGAUAAAGAGGGAUUUUUGCAAUUUGGUAGAUGCAGAGCGUAAUUAGAUUGAGUAGGAGGACCACUUUUUGUCAUGCAGCUUAGGGUUUAUAUAGCUAGUGUAUUCUAUCAUGAGUCAAAACUUUUCCACAGGUUGGCACAUGGGAUAACAGCCUUCGUUCAUUAGAAGCCAAUAGUUUGUAGUAUCUUCUCGUGAGGGUCAAGUCUGUUAGUUUAUCAUACUCGAGGUAGAUCGUUGCCAAGGUAUCUAUUUUUGGACGAGUCGAUUUUAGGUAGCUUCAUGGUUUUGUGUCGUUUAACUACAGAUACUCUUUACUUGAGACGGCCUUGAAAUUGGAUGCCUAAAGGGUAGUGCUUUGGGAUGGAUUCAUUCUAUCCACUUCACUUCACCUUCUCACAUAAAUAAUAUUAGAUCUAGACUCAUCAACACUCACAAUUUCAAAAUAAGACCAUAUAUUUUAGAGUAGUAACUCCUUAUAAAUACUAGGAACUCCUCCGAUCCUCUCAUCCUAUUACCAAAAAUCAAUAUUGGCCGGAUUUCACAUUUAUUUUAGCAUAUUGUGGACAAAGGUCCACUAAUAUUACGAUCAUCUUACACAUUAAGCCCCAAAGUCCAACAUAGAAAUGACAGAUAGAUACAAAUGCAGCUAGCAUUUAAAGCUAGCUACUUCAAAACUUGAAUUAAAAAGUGCAAAAAAGUAGCUAUUUUCAGUGGUGGUUCAAACUUCAGGGGCGGUGGUGGUCCUAGGUAUGGAUAAUACUUGGUGUUUGGUAGGAGGGAAAGUGGUUUCGCCCUUCUGUUUCUUUUUUCAAGUGCAUGCAUAGACCGUGUCAAAAUGAAAGUGGGUUGCGCUUGUGCCAUUAGAUGACAGCUAUUGCCUUUACAUGUUGAGCUAGCUCAACUGUGUACAGCUGCUGACUCAUCCUUCCUUCUCUCCUUCCAGGCUUCCGCUUUCCCCCUUCACCAUCUAUACUAUAAAACCCCACGUAGCCACACCAUUCUCCUCACUUCCACACUCCAAACUUCUCCCCAUUUCUCAUCUCUAUAUUCACAUUCAAUGGCUUCUACUUCUACUUCAAAUCUUUCACCAAAGUUGCUCUUGCUCUCUCUUCUGCUUGGUUCCUUUGUGGUUGCUUCUGUUGGUAACUUGUACCAAGAUUUUGAUCUCACUUGGGGUGAUGGCAGAGCCAAGAUCCUCAACAAUGGACAGCUUCUUACUCUCUCCCUUGACAAAGCCUCUGGCUCUGGCUUCCAGUCCAAGAAUGAGUAUCUGUUUGGGAAGAUUGAUAUGCAGCUGAAGCUUGUGCCUGGAAACUCUGCUGGCACUGUCACUGCCUACUAUGUAAGCCUCCUCUUUACCAAGUGUUUUUGCAUCAAAUGCUUUCUUGGUUUCAUCUUCUUCUGACUCACAAACCAAUACCCUGCUUUGUGUAAUUGCAGCUAUCUUCACAAGGGCCUACCCAUGAUGAGAUAGAUUUUGAAUUCUUGGGGAAUCUCAGUGGUGAUCCAUACAUUCUUCACACUAAUGUGUUCAGCCAAGGGAAGGGAAACAGAGAACAGCAGUUCUACCUCUGGUUUGACCCCACUGCUGAUUUCCACACCUAUUCCAUCCUCUGGAAUCCCCAGCGGAUUAUGUAAGCACUAUAGUAAUUAAUCUUCAAAACUGCAAUCUUGUUUACGUUUUUCGGGUUUUUGUAUUGAUUUACUCAUCUGGGGUAUCUCUGUUUCAGCUUCUCUGUGGAUGGCACCCCCAUCAGAGAGUUCAAGAACUCAGAGUCCAUUGGUGUUCCAUUCCCAAAGAACCAGCCCAUGAGGAUAUACUCGAGUCUCUGGAAUGCUGAUGACUGGGCAACAAGAGGUGGUCUUGUGAAGACAGACUGGACCCAAGCACCCUUCACUGCCUCCUACAGGAACUUCAAUGCCAAUGCUUGUGUGUGGUCCUCUCGAUCAUCUUCUUGCAGUUCCACCUCUCCAUCUUCUACCUCCACCAAUGGGGGAUGGUACUCACAGGAGCUAGAUUCCACAAGCCAAGAGAGAAUGAAAUGGGUGCAGAAGAAUUACAUGAUCUACAAUUACUGCACAGACACAAAGAGAUUCCCACAGGGCCUUCCCCCUGAAUGCACUGCCACCACCACAUCCUAAAGGAGACUCAACCUUAAAGGCC